Small nucleolar RNA from Dipodomys ordii (Ord's kangaroo rat), 93 nucleotides. Ensembl annotates it as predicted gene, 22771. The record is from Ensembl. NCBI's taxonomy places the organism in Eukaryota, Metazoa, Chordata, Mammalia, Rodentia, Heteromyidae.
CUUAGGAGUCAAUGAUGUUUUAAUUCAAAAUGUCUGAACCUGUCUGAGGCAUCUUAAUGAUGCAGCUUGUGUGGUGCUGAGACUUCUCUGUCA